GACGGAGGGGGCUAGCGUUGUUCGGAAUUACUGGGCGUAAAGAGCGCGUAGGCGGCUCAGCAAGUUGGAAGUGAAAUCCCAAGGCUCAACCUUGGAACUGCUUUCAAAACUGCUGAGCUAGAGUAUGGUAGAGGGUGAUAGAAUUCCUAGUGUAGAGGUGAAAUUCUUAGAUAUUAGGAGGAAUACCGGUGGCGAAGGCGAUCACCUGGGCCAUUACUGACGCUGAGGCGCGAAAGCGUGGGGAGCAAACAGG
This 253-nucleotide ribosomal RNA is filed under the name uncultured bacterium. RNAcentral's name for it is "partial 16S ribosomal RNA". It matches the Rfam family "Bacterial small subunit ribosomal RNA", at positions 524 to 776 of the family's 1533-position model. The record is from RNAcentral.